UCCGUAGGCGGGAUAUUAAGUCAGUGGUGAAAGCCUGCAGCUCAACUGUAGAAUUGCCAUUGAUACUGGUAUCCUUGAGUACACCUGAAGUGGGCGGAAUGUGUCAUGUAGCGGUGAAAUGCAUAGAUAUGACACAGAACACCGAUUGCGAAAGCAGCUCACUAAAGUGUUACUGACGCUGAGGGACGAAAGCGUGGGGAGCGAACAGGAUUAGAUACCCUGGUAGUC
Molecule: ribosomal RNA, 228 nt
Filed under: uncultured bacterium
Lineage: Bacteria
Description: partial 16S ribosomal RNA
Rfam family: Bacterial small subunit ribosomal RNA
Source: RNAcentral